GGUUAAAUAACAUAAAGGAUAAUGUAGUCGAUUGCAAAUCGUUUUAUGGGGGUUCGACUCCCUCUUUAACCU
RNAcentral lists this transfer RNA (72 nucleotides) under Coscinodiscus granii. RNAcentral describes it as "tRNA-Cys". It matches the Rfam family "tRNA". Rfam says of the family: Transfer RNA (tRNA) molecules are approximately 80 nucleotides in length. Their secondary structure includes four short double-helical elements and three loops (D, anti-codon, and T loops). The record is from RNAcentral. Lineage: Eukaryota; Bacillariophyta; Coscinodiscophyceae; Coscinodiscales; Coscinodiscaceae.